RNAcentral lists this ribosomal RNA (497 nucleotides) under uncultured bacterium. Its description in RNAcentral is "partial 16S ribosomal RNA". It matches the Rfam family "Bacterial small subunit ribosomal RNA", at positions 28 to 507 of the family's 1533-position model. The record is from RNAcentral.
GAUGAACGCUGGCGGCGUGCCUAAUACAUGCAAGUCGAGCGAACGGACGAGAAGCUUGCUUUUCUGAUGUUAGCGGCGGACGGGUGAGUAACACGUGGAUAACCUACCUAUAAGACUGGGAUAACUUCGGGAAACCGGAGCUAAUACCGGAUAAUAUUUUGAACCGCAUGGUUCAAAAGUGACAGACGGUCUUGCUGUCACUUAUAGAUGGAUCCGCGCUGCAUUAGCUAGUUGGUAAGGUAACGGCUUACCAAGGCAACGAUGCAUAGCCGACCUGAGAGGGUGAUCGGCCACACUGGAACUGAGACACGGUCCAGACUCCUACGGGAGGCAGCAGUAGGGAAUCUUCCGCAAUGGGCGAAAGCCUGACGGAGCAACGCCGCGUGAGUGAUGAAGGUCUUCGGAUCGUAAAACUCUGUUAUUAGGGAAGAACAUAUGUGUAAGUAACUGUGCACAUCUUGACGGUACCUAAUCAGAAAGCCACGGCUAACUACGUG